AGGGUUCGAUUCUGGCUCAGGACGAACGCUGGCGGCGCGCCUAACACAUGCAAGUCGAACGGAGUUGCCUUUGCAGAAGCUUUCGGGUGGACGUGAGGGCAACUUAGUGGCGAACGGGUGAGUAACACGUGAGGAACCUGCCCUGGAGUGGGGGACAACAGUUGGAAACGACUGCUAAUACCGCAUAAGCCCACAGCACCGCAUGGUGCAGAGGGAAAAGGAUUGAUUCGCUUCAGGAUGGCCUCGCGUCCAUUUAGGUAGAUGGUGAGGUAACGGCCCACCAUGCCGACGAUUGGUAGCCGGACUGAGAGGUUGAACGGCCACAUUGGGACUGAGACACGGCCCAG
RNAcentral lists this ribosomal RNA (347 nucleotides) under uncultured bacterium. Its description in RNAcentral is "bacterial SSU rRNA". It matches the Rfam family "Bacterial small subunit ribosomal RNA", at positions 8 to 334 of the family's 1533-position model. The record is from RNAcentral.